GAUGAACGCUGGCGGCGUGCUUGAUACAUGCAAGUCGAACGGAGAGUGUAGCAAUAUACUUUUAGUGGCGAACGGGUGAGUAACGCGUUGGUGACCUGCCCCGAAGCGAGGGAUAACAGUUCGAAAGAACUGCUAAUACCUCAUGUGAUCACCGGUUUUAGAAUCUGGUGAUUAAAGGUGAAAAUCACUUCGGGAGGGGCCUGCGUCCCAUCAGCUAGUUGGUAAGGUAAUGGCUUACCAAGGCGAUGACGGGUAGGGGACCUGAGAGGGUGGCCCCCACAAUGGAACUGAAACACGGUCCAUACACCUACGGGUGGCAGCAGUAGGGAAUAUUGCAAAUGGGCGAAAGCCUGAUGUAGCAACGCCGCGUGUGCGAUGAAGGUCUUCGGAUUGUAAAGCACUUUUUGGAGGGAUGAGGAAGGACAGUACCUCCAGAAUAAGCCUCGGCUAACUACGUG
Molecule: ribosomal RNA, 458 nt
Filed under: uncultured bacterium
Lineage: Bacteria
Description: bacterial SSU rRNA
Rfam family: Bacterial small subunit ribosomal RNA
Source: RNAcentral